GAGGGUGUAGCUCAAGGCGUAGAGUGCGUGCUUAGCAUGCAUGAGGUCCUGGGUCCAAUCCCCAGCACCUGCU
Molecule: transfer RNA, 73 nt
Filed under: Camelus bactrianus (Bactrian camel)
Lineage: Eukaryota; Metazoa; Chordata; Mammalia; Artiodactyla; Camelidae
Also listed under: 2 other names
Rfam family: tRNA
About the family: Transfer RNA (tRNA) molecules are approximately 80 nucleotides in length. Their secondary structure includes four short double-helical elements and three loops (D, anti-codon, and T loops).
Source: Rfam by way of RNAcentral